UAUUUAAUAGCCGGACCAGGUUUCCGAUAUGCAUCGGAUUAAAAGGGAAUCGUUAAGACCGCCGAUGCGGUUAAAUCACGAGCUGUCGCGCAACUGUAAGUAACGCUCAAAAAGUUUCCGCCAACCAUGUCCACUGUCUGUGAAAACGGAUGGGAAGGACGGCCGAAAUGUUACAAGCCAGGAUACCUGCCUUUUACCGGAUGGACAA
This 208-nucleotide non-coding RNA is filed under the name Cytophagaceae bacterium. The record is from RNAcentral. Lineage: Bacteria; Pseudomonadati; Bacteroidota; Cytophagia; Cytophagales; Cytophagaceae.